AUUGAACGCUGGCGGCAUGCUUUACACAUGCAAGUCGAACGGUAACAGGCCGCAAGGUGCUGACGAGUGGCGAACGGGUGAGUAAUGCAUCGGAACGUGCCCAGUCGUGGGGGAUAACUACUCGAAAGAGUAGCUAAUACCGCAUACGAUCUAUGGAUGAAAGCGGGGGACCGUAAGGCCUCGCGCGAUUGGAGCGGCCGAUUUCAGAUUAGGUAGUUGGUGGGGUAAAGGCUCACCAAGCCAACGAUCUGUAGCUGGUCUGAGAGGACGGCCAGCCACACUGGGACUGAGACACGGCCCAGACUCCUACGGGAGGCAGCAGUGGGGAAUUUUGGACAAUGGGCGCAAGCCUGAUCCAGCAAUGCCGCGUGCAGGAAGAAGGCCUUCGGGUUGUAAACUGCUUUUGUACGGAACGAAACGGCUCUGGUUAAUACCCGGGGCUAAUGACGGUACCGUAAGAAUAAGCACCGGCUAACUACGUG
This 482-nucleotide ribosomal RNA is filed under the name uncultured bacterium. RNAcentral describes it as "partial 16S ribosomal RNA". It matches the Rfam family "Bacterial small subunit ribosomal RNA", at positions 30 to 507 of the family's 1533-position model. The record is from RNAcentral.